This 95-nucleotide ribosomal RNA is filed under the name uncultured bacterium. RNAcentral's name for it is "partial 16S ribosomal RNA". The record is from RNAcentral.
CAUUUCGGUGUGUAAACCACUGUCGGCAGGGAAUAAAGCCCGCAUUUAUGCGGGGGUGAAUGUACCUGCAAAGGAAGCCCCGGCUAACUUCGUGC